UUGGAAACGAUAGCUAAUACCGCAUAAGAGUAGAUGUUGCAUGACAUUUGCUUAAAAGGUGCAAUUGCAUCACUACCAGAUGGACCUGCGUUGUAUUAGCUAGUUGGUGGGGUGACGGCUCACCAAGGCGACGAUACAUAGCCGACCUGAGAGGGUGAUCGGCCACACUGGGACUGAGACACGGCCCAGACUCCUACGGGAGGCAGCAGGG
Molecule: ribosomal RNA, 211 nt
Filed under: uncultured Streptococcus sp.
Lineage: Bacteria; Bacillati; Bacillota; Bacilli; Lactobacillales; Streptococcaceae
Description: partial 16S ribosomal RNA
Rfam family: Bacterial small subunit ribosomal RNA
Source: RNAcentral